ACACACAAAUACACAUGCUUGCAGCUCAGGGGCCUACCAGGCGAAAGUAGACAGAAGCAAAGGCAGGGACUCAGCUGGGCACACUCAGCAGCAUACAGAUCGGAGACAAACUCACUUGAGGCUUUGAAUCCUGAUGCUUACAGAGGACCUUUUUGAGUUUUAGACCUUGGGAGUGAGGACAGUUUGGGAAAGUGAGGACGAUUUUUAGUCCGGUCCUCUCAACUUUAAAGGGCUGUUUGAGGUUUGUGCGUGAUUCACACUCCUUCUGAAGAAACCUCGAGACUCCUCAACCGAUGACUUCUCCAUGUGCUUGGACUAUGCUGCACUGAAGACCUUGUGACACCAGUUUAGCUUCCUGUCUUGGUGAAUGGUGAGGCGGCGUGGACCAAUGGGAGGGCAGCGGUGAGGAUGCAACAGUGAUCCAGGAAAAAACAGCCCAUUGUUCCUGGGACGUCGGAGAAGUGUGACCUCCCUCCUGCCG
Long non-coding RNA from Xiphias gladius (swordfish), 481 nucleotides. RefSeq lists it as uncharacterized. The record is from RefSeq and is a predicted model, not a curated record. The transcript has 4 exons. Lineage: Eukaryota; Metazoa; Chordata; Actinopteri; Istiophoriformes; Xiphiidae.